Molecule: ribosomal RNA, 496 nt
Filed under: uncultured bacterium
Lineage: Bacteria
Description: partial 16S ribosomal RNA
Rfam family: Bacterial small subunit ribosomal RNA
Source: RNAcentral
AUUGAACGCUGGCGGAAUGCUUUACACACGCAAGUCGAACGGUAGAGGGGGCAACCCCUCGAGAGUGGCGAACGGGUGAGUAAUAUAUCGGAACGUGCCCAGUCGUGGGGGAUAACGUAGCGAAAGUUACGCUAAUACCGCAUACGAUCUAAGGAUGAAAGCGGGGGAUCGCAAGACCUCGCGCGAUUGGAGCGGCCGAUAUCAGAUUAGGUAGUUGGUGGGGUAAAGGCUCACCAAGCCAACGAUCUGUAGCUGGUCUGAGAGGACGACCAGCCACACUGGAACUGAGACACGGUCCAGACGCCUACGGGAGUCAGCAGUGGGGAAUUUUGGACAAUGGACGCAAGUCUGAUCCAGCCAUUCCGCGUGCAGGAUGAAGGCCCUCGGGUUGUAAACUGCUUUUGUACGGAACGAAAAGGUCUCUCUUAAUACGGGGGACUCAUGACGGUACCGUAAGAAUAAGCACCGGCUAACUACGUGCCAGCAGCCGCCGUAA